RNAcentral lists this ribosomal RNA (349 nucleotides) under uncultured Alkaliflexus sp. Its description in RNAcentral is "bacterial SSU rRNA". It matches the Rfam family "Bacterial small subunit ribosomal RNA", at positions 355 to 699 of the family's 1533-position model. Lineage: Bacteria; Pseudomonadati; Bacteroidota; Bacteroidia; Marinilabiliales; Marinilabiliaceae. The record is from RNAcentral.
UGAGGAAUAUUGGGUCAAUGGACGCAAGUCUGAACCAGCCAAGUCGCGUGCAGGAAUAAGGCCCUAUGGGUCGCAGACUGCUUUUGCAUGAGAAUAAAAAGUGGGACGAGUCCCACUCUGUAGGUAUCAUGCGAAUAAGGAUCGGCUAACUCCGUGCCAGCAGCCGCGGUAAUACGGAGGAUCCGAGCGUUAUCCGGAUUCAUUGGGUUUAAAGGGUGCGCAGGCGGGUCUGUAAGCCCGUGGUGAAAGCCUGGUGCUCAACGCCAGAGGUGCCGCGGGAACUGCAGGUCUUGAGUCGUGACGAGGGCGGCGGAAUGCGAAGUGUAGCGGUAGAAAUGCUUAGAUAGUU